ACGGAAGGCAGCAGUGAGGAAUAUUGGUCAAUGGGCGAGAGCCUGAACCAGCCAAGUCGCGUGAAGGAUGAAGGUUCUAUGGAUUGUAAACUUCUUUUGUUCGAGGGUAAAGUGAGGGAUGCGUCCCUUAUUGCAAGUAUCGAACGAAUAAGCAUCGGCUAACUCCGUGCCAGCAGCCGCGGUAAUACGGAGGAUGCGAGCGUUAUCCGGAUUUAUUGGGUUUAAAGGGUGCGUAGGCAGUUAAGUAAGUCAGUGGUGAAAUUUUAAGGCUCAACUUUAGAAUUGCCAUUGAUACUGUUUGACUAGAGUGUAUUCGGCGCGGGAGGAAUGCGACAAGUAGCGGUGAAAUGCUUAGAUAUGUCGCAGAACACCGAUAGCGAAGGCAUCCCGAGAGGAUACACUGACGCUGAGGCACGAAAGCGUGGGGAUCGAACAGGAUUAGAUACCCUGGUA
RNAcentral lists this ribosomal RNA (453 nucleotides) under uncultured Porphyromonadaceae bacterium. RNAcentral's name for it is "bacterial SSU rRNA". It matches the Rfam family "Bacterial small subunit ribosomal RNA", at positions 341 to 792 of the family's 1533-position model. The record is from RNAcentral. Lineage: Bacteria; Pseudomonadati; Bacteroidota; Bacteroidia; Bacteroidales; Porphyromonadaceae.